This 508-nucleotide ribosomal RNA is filed under the name Trichoderma viride. Its description in RNAcentral is "partial 18S ribosomal RNA". It matches the Rfam family "Eukaryotic small subunit ribosomal RNA", at positions 94 to 605 of the family's 1831-position model. Lineage: Eukaryota; Fungi; Ascomycota; Sordariomycetes; Hypocreales; Hypocreaceae. The record is from RNAcentral.
UGGYUCDUURUAUAHGUBAUCGUUUAUUUGAUAAYUCUUUUUCUACUUGGAUAACCGUGGUAAUUCUAGAGCUAAUACAUGCUAAAAAUCCCGACUUCGGAAGGGUUGUAUUUAUUAGAUUAAMMACCAAUGCCCCUCGGGGCUCUCUGGUGAAUCAUGAUAACUAGUCGAAUCGACAGGCCUUGUGCCGGCGAUGGCUCAUUCAAAUUUCUUCCCUAUCAACUUUCGAUGUUUGGGUCUUGUCCAAACAUGGUGGCAACGGGUAACGGAGGGUUAGGGCUCGACCCCGGAGAAGGAGCCUGAGAAACGGCUACUACAUCCAAGGAAGGCAGCAGGCGCGCAAAUUACCCAAUCCCGACACGGGGAGGUAGURACAAUAAAUACUGAUACAGGGCUCUUUUKGGUCUUGUAAUCGGAAUGAGUACAAUUUAAAUCCCUUAACGAGGRACAAUUKGAGGGCAAGUCUUGUGCCAGCAGCCGCGGUWAUUCACAGCUCCAAUWGCGUAUA